This 413-nucleotide ribosomal RNA is filed under the name Micrococcus luteus. Its description in RNAcentral is "bacterial SSU rRNA". It matches the Rfam family "Bacterial small subunit ribosomal RNA", at positions 28 to 441 of the family's 1533-position model. The record is from RNAcentral. Lineage: Bacteria; Bacillati; Actinomycetota; Actinomycetes; Micrococcales; Micrococcaceae.
GAUGAACGCUGGCGGCGUGCUUAACACAUGCAAGUCGAACGAUGAAGCCCAGCCUGCUGGGCGGAUUAGUGGCGAACGGGUGAGUAACACGUGAGUAACCUGCCCUUGACUCUGGGAUAAGCCCGGGAAACUGGGUCUAAUACCGGAUAGGAGCGCCUGUCGCAUGACGGGUGCUGGAAAGAUUUUUCGGUCAUGGAUGGACUCGCGGCCUAUCAGCUUGUUGGUGAGGUAACGGCUCACCAAGGCGACGACGGGUAGCCGGCCUGAGAGGGUGACCGGCCACACUGGGACUGAGACACGGCCCAGACUCCUAUGGGAGGCAGCAGUGGGGAAUAUUGCACAAUGGGCGGAAGCCUGAUGCAGCGACGCCGCGUGAGGGAUGACGGCCUUCGGGUUGUAAACCUCUUUCAGUA